GGCCCUCAACUUGAGCUUUGUCUGAGACAAUAACUCAUCUCCAAGGAAUUGGUUAUGCCAAUAAUCCAAAACAAAGCUCUAAGCUUUUAACCUGGAGAGAUGAGGAAGGUAAUUCAGGACAAAUUCAGCCUUAUGUUAUGACAAAUCUGUCUGUUACUCUGUGGGGAAGAGAUCUGUGGUCACAAAUGGCUCUUGCUCUGUGCAGCUCCAGUGAAAUAAACAGAGGUCAGAACAGGACAUUAGAACAUCUGGAGACCUUAAGCCUCAUUCUAAUAGUAAAGAUUUGAAGCAUUUUCCAUAAUGGUCACUAUCUUGCCUACACCCCAUGCAGAUAAAAUUCAAUCGAUGAAUAAUAUUCCAGAGUGGGUUGAUCAGUGGUCGUUAUCUCAAGAAAAGAUAGAAGCUGCUUCUUUGCUAGUGCAGGAGCAAUUGGAAGCAGGACAUCUGAGGGAAUCCAAUUCCCCAUGGAAUACGCCUAUAUUUGUCAUCAAGAAAAAAUCAGGAAACGAAGCCUUGGAAGAUUGCUUCUGUACGUACCAUUAUCUAUUGAUUUGAAAUCAGAAGACAUCAAAUUGCAACGAAAGCUCGAAAUCAGCCCGUCUGGUAUCCAUAAAAACACCUGAAGUGAACAUUUUUUCCUAACGCCAUUCCACAACCUUUGCCUUGUUACCUUGUUUGCUGUAUUACAUAGACAUUUACUUUAAUCUCACAAUGAACCCCACAGGAAACAUUACCUCUUUCUCAUUUUAAAUAACAAUCGAGAUGACGUCCCAUCCUUUUACCUGUAAA
Long non-coding RNA from Mastomys coucha (southern multimammate mouse), 789 nucleotides. RefSeq lists it as uncharacterized. The record is from RefSeq and is a predicted model, not a curated record. The transcript is spliced from 2 exons. Lineage: Eukaryota; Metazoa; Chordata; Mammalia; Rodentia; Muridae.